UUAAAUUGAAGAGUUUGAUCAUGGCUCAGAUUGAACGCUGGCGGCAGGCCUAACACAUGCAAGUCGAACGGUAACAGGAAGCAGCUUGCUGCUUUGCUGACGAGUGGCGGACGGGUGAGUAAUGUCUGGGAAACUGCCUGAUGGAGGGGGAUAACUACUGGAAACGGUAGCUAAUACCGCAUAAUGUCGCAAGACCAAAGAGGGGGACCUUCGGGCCUCUUGCCAUCGGAUGUGCCCAGAUGGGAUUAGCUAGUAGGUGGGGUAAAGGCUCACCUAGGCGACGAUCCCUAGCUGGUCUGAGAGGAUGACCAGCCACACUGGAACUGAGACACGGUCCAGACUCCUACGGGAGGCAGCAGUGGGGAAUAUUGCACAAUGGGCGCAAGCCUGAUGCAGCCAUGCCGCGUGUAUGAAGAAGGCCUUCGGGUUGUAAAGUACUUUCAGCGGGGAGGAAGGGAGUAAAGUUAAUACCUUUGCUCAUUGACGUUACCCGCAGAAGAAGCACCGGCUAACUCCGUGCCAGCAGCCGCGGUAAUACGGAGGGUGCAAGCGUUAAUCGGAAUUACUGGGCGUAAAGCGCACGCAGGCGGUUUGUUAAGUCAGAUGUGAAAUCCCCGGGCUCAACCUGGGAACUGCAUCUGAUACUGGCAAGCUUGAGUCUCGUAGAGGGGGGUAGAAUUCCAGGUGUAGCGGUGAAAUGCGUAGAGAUCUGGAGGAAUACCGGUGGCGAAGGCGGCCCCCUGGACGAAGACUGACGCUCAGGUGCGAAAGCGUGGGGAGCAAACAGGAUUAGAUACCCUGGUAGUCCACGCCGUAAACGAUGUCGACUUGGAGGUUGUGCCCUUGAGGCGUGGCUUCCGGAGCUAACGCGUUAAGUCGACCGCCUGGGGAGUACGGCCGCAAGGUUAAAACUCAAAUGAAUUGACGGGGGCCCGCACAAGCGGUGGAGCAUGUGGUUUAAUUCGAUGCAACGCGAAGAACCUUACCUGGUCUUGACAUCCACGGAAGUUUUCAGAGAUGAGAAUGUGCCUUCGGGAACCGUGAGACAGGUGCUGCAUGGCUGUCGUCAGCUCGUGUUGUGAAAUGUUGGGUUAAGUCCCGCAACGAGCGCAACCCUUAUCCUUUGUUGCCAGCGGUCCGGCCGGGAACUCAAAGGAGACUGCCAGUGAUAAACUGGAGGAAGGUGGGGAUGACGUCAAGUCAUCAUGGCCCUUACGACCAGGGCUACACACGUGCUACAAUGGCGCAUACAAAGAGAAGCGACCUCGCGAGAGCAAGCGGACCUCAUAAAGUGCGUCGUAGUCCGGAUUGGAGUCUGCAACUCGACUCCAUGAAGUCGGAAUCGCUAGUAAUCGUGGAUCAGAAUGCCACGGUGAAUACGUUCCCGGGCCUUGUACACACCGCCCGUCACACCAUGGGAGUGGGUUGCAAAAGAAGUAGGUAGCUUAACCUUCGGGAGGGCGCUUACCACUUUGUGAUUCAUGACUGGGGUGAAGUCGUAACAAGGUAACCGUAGGGGAACCUGCGGUUGGAUCACCUCCUUACCUUAAAGAAGC
RNAcentral lists this ribosomal RNA (1556 nucleotides) under Escherichia coli. RNAcentral's name for it is "bacterial SSU rRNA". It matches the Rfam family "Bacterial small subunit ribosomal RNA". Lineage: Bacteria; Pseudomonadati; Pseudomonadota; Gammaproteobacteria; Enterobacterales; Enterobacteriaceae. The record is from RNAcentral.